UUUCGUGGCCGAACCUCCGCGUCAGAUCUCAGAAGUUAAACAGGGCUGGGUCUGGUUAGUACUCGGAUGGGAGACCGCUGGGGAAAUGAAGUGUUGUGUCCU
RNAcentral lists this ribosomal RNA (102 nucleotides) under Periophthalmus magnuspinnatus. The record is from RNAcentral. Lineage: Eukaryota; Metazoa; Chordata; Actinopteri; Gobiiformes; Gobiidae.